AUGUCUUUGUUUUCCUGUCCGUUAUUGUCGGGUGGUGGUUGUUCACAGUCAGGUGGUGGUCAGGUGUGUGCGUGGGUGCGUGCGUGCGGGUGUGCGUGUGCGUCCACUCCUCGGCCCCGGGCCCCCUGCGCGCCCCGCCCGGCCGCCCCGGGCCCUUCCCCACGUGCCCCCGGCCCUCCCCCUCCAGCCUCACCGGAGAGGAGAGGGUCACAGCUUCUGCUGGGCCGAGACCCCCUUCCAGUAAUCGAGGAUGUCGUGCAGGUCCUCGUCCUUGGCGAACUGGACCUUCUUGCGCAGAGCGUGGCCGGCGGCCAUGUACACCUCCUCCCGGUGGUGCUUCUUGUAGGGCCGGAAGCGCUCCCAGAUCUUGUGCGUGCUCUCGGACGAGUACUCAGGGCUGGACGAAUAGCCCGAGUAGUAGUGUCUGGGGGAGAGCUGCGAGUAGGUGGAGUCCCGCUUGGUGCGGGUCAGCGGCUUGAGGAAGGACACGCGCUGGCUCAGGCUGUCGGUGCCCUCCUCGUAGUACAGGGCCGGGAAGCUGUGCCGGUGCUCGCUGCAGUGGUAGGCGGGCUUCACCUCCAGGUGGUGGACGCCGCCCCCGGUGCUGCUCCCGCUGCUGCUCGCGGGCACCAGCGGGAGCCGGUCCAGCGGGCUGUUCAGGGGGCUGCCCUUCUCGAUGUACUUGGAGUCGCCCUUGGCCAGCCCCGUGGCGGCCGGGUGAUCCGGCACAUCCAGGCUGAAGACCUUGGCGCUCUUGAUGGAGCCGCUGGAGGAGACAGAUGGGAAGGGGGGGGCGAAACCAUCUAAUUGACACCUACUAUGUGCCAGACGCGAUGCUACACACUUGUCAUUCUUUUACGUAACCGACCUGGGAGAGUUGGGAAUUCGGUACCAUUUCCCUCAUUUUACAUUGAGCAACGGAACCUUCUGGAAGUGAAGUCUCUUGCCCAGGACACACACACACCGAGGAGGAAAAGAGCCAGAUUUUGGAUGCUGCGAGAUGUGGGGAGAGUGUGGCAGGGGUCGAGGGGCCCCCAGCUGAGGCCAUGACAGGCUCAGGCCUGGGAAAGAUACUGAGCCUGGAGCAGCACCCUCUCCAUUAUCCACGGGAGCCCCUAGGGGGCCCCCACUGUGUGCCUGGUGCUGUGCCAGGCCCUGUGGGAGAACCAGGGAGCAAAGAACUGCCUUAGGGUCACUCUGGAGGGUGGGGGCACAGGAGGACCAGGAAACCGGGACUGAGGCCCUGGAGCCUUUCUGCCCCUCUGCCCCCACAGCCACACCCACUGCUUCCCUGCAGCAAGGUCACUGCCCCCCUUUACAGAUAAGCAAAGCAAGGUCCGGAGAGGUCCUUCAGUGAGAGGGGGUACUCCGAGCUGCCCACGGUCCCCUGGCAGAGGAGUUCACCGAUUAAUCGUUAACGAUGCCAAGAGUCUGCCUCUGGGGCUUCCAGUCCUGGUUCCACUGCUGUGUGGCCCUGAGCUGGUCUGUAACCUCUCUGUUUCUUCUCUGGGAAAUGAGGAAUGAUAAUAGCUCUACUGCAGAAGGCUUUAUGGGAUUAAACGAGUGCCCUUUAUAAAGAGCUUCCCACCAGGCCUGGCUUUCAGUACAGACUCAAUGGGUAUUAGCUAAUGUCAUUAUUAUCAUCACUGUAAUUAUUGCUGUCAGCAGCAUCGUUCAGCCCGAGCCCUUCUUGUGGCACCCUGGGUGUAAGCUAGCCCAGGUGGCUUGCCUGUCCCCAGGGGGGCUUUCGGGGGCCUCCCUGGGGACUGUCUGCAGAGCCGGGGGGUGGGGGGAGGGGGUCUGUGAU
RNAcentral lists this long non-coding RNA (1807 nucleotides) under Sus scrofa (pig). RNAcentral describes it as "lncRNA (ENSSSCG00060027329.1)". Lineage: Eukaryota; Metazoa; Chordata; Mammalia; Artiodactyla; Suidae. The record is from RNAcentral.